RNAcentral lists this transfer RNA (70 nucleotides) under Tolypeutes tricinctus. RNAcentral describes it as "tRNA-Trp". Lineage: Eukaryota; Metazoa; Chordata; Mammalia; Cingulata; Chlamyphoridae. The record is from RNAcentral.
AGGGGUUUAGGUUAAACCCUAGACCGAGAGCCUUCAAAGCCCUAAGCAAGUACAUACUACUUAACCCCUG